GACGAACCGAGCGAACGUUGUUCGGAAUCACUGGGCUUAAAGGGCGCGUAGGCGGGCUGCCAAGUCCGUGGUGAAAUCCCCCGGCUCAACCGGGGAAGGGCCUCGGAUACUGGCGGCCUCGAGGGGGUAGGGGCGUGCGGAACUGUGGGUGGAGCGGUGAAAUGCGUUGAUAUCCACAGGAACUCCGGUGGCGAAGGCGGCACGCUGGACCCCAUCUGACGCUGAGGCGCGAAAGCCAGGGGAGCGGAACGGG
RNAcentral lists this ribosomal RNA (253 nucleotides) under uncultured bacterium. RNAcentral's name for it is "partial 16S ribosomal RNA". It matches the Rfam family "Bacterial small subunit ribosomal RNA", at positions 524 to 776 of the family's 1533-position model. The record is from RNAcentral.